This 1495-nucleotide long non-coding RNA is filed under the name Homo sapiens (human). Its description in RNAcentral is "HSALNT0086273". The record is from RNAcentral. Lineage: Eukaryota; Metazoa; Chordata; Mammalia; Primates; Hominidae.
CCUACUUUGCAGGCUGAGGUAUGAGAAUCGCUUGAACCCGGGAGGUGGAGGUUGCAGUGAGCCCAGAUGGUGCCUGGGCAACAAAAGCGAAACUGUCUCAGAAAAAAAAAAUAAUAAAGUAUUCCUCCCUUUUCCAACUACACAUCUCUGUGAGGCCACAUUUUCUUCACAUACCUCAACCCAAACAAAAGAUUAUCUGCAGAAGCAAACAGGAGAAUCCAGCCAUGUUCUAUUAAAGAGAUUGGUAAAAUGUAAAAUAAUGUCACUCAUAAUUUUGUUUUGCAAAAUAUGAUUAUUUUCCAUUAAAAAAAUGUUAAAGUAUCUUUCCAUUCCUAGGAAAUACAUAUUGAAGUACUUAAAAUGAAAUAUGCCUGCAGUUUACUUUCAAAUAUUCAUCCAAAAAAUUGUAUAGAUGUAUACACAUGUAUGUAUGUGUGUAAACAUGUAUGCCUAAGUGGCAUCAGAGAUACUUGGUCUUUGUCCCUGGUUCCUGGCACAGAGCUCCUAAAACCUAAUUUCUUGAGUUAAAAGUGAUAGUAGGAUCUUUUGUUCAAAUGAGGGACUCUUGGCAGGGCCCCUAGACAGCUUCAGGAUGGGGACUGGUUGCUAGAAAGAUGAAACUUUGAUUAGAAGCUUAGAAUUUUCAGCUCCACCUCCCAACCUCUGGGGAUGGGUGAGGAAGUGAGGACUGUUAAUCACCAAUGGCUAAAAAUUUAAUCAAUCACGUGUAAUGGAAUCUCUAUAAAAACACCCUAAAUGAUGGGGCUCAGAGACUUAAGUUGGUGACAUAGUAAGGUGCUGGGAGAGUGGUGCUCCCAGAGAAGGCACAGAGCUCCAUCUCCCUUCCCCAUACCUUGCCCUGGGCAUCUCUCCCAUUUGGCUGUUCCUGAGUUUUAUCCUUUAUAAUAAACCUGUAAUUGUGAAUAAAGUGCUUUCCUGAGUUGUGUGAAUGGUUCCAGUCAAUUAUCAAAUGUGAGAAGGGGAUUGUGGAAACCCUCUGAAUUUACUGGUCACAAGUACCAGUGACAACCAUGGACUUACGGCUGGCAUCUGAAGUGGGGGCCUUCUUGUGGGACUGAGCCCUUAACUUGUGGGAUCUGACACACUAACUCCACGUAGAUGGUAUCAGAAUUAAAUUGUAGGACACCCAAAUGGAGUAAGAGAAGUGGUGAUGGAAAAAACACACACACUUGGCUCAGAAGUAAAAAUAGCUCAGCAUAUGCGUACGUUAACUUUCUACAAUUUACUUCCAAACAGUUCAGCAAAAAGAGACAGAAGGUUGCAAAAUAAUAGGUGAAGGAUAUGAGUGUUCCUUAUACUAUUGAUUCAACUUUUCUCUGGGUUUGAAAUUUUUCAGAAUAAAAUACGUUGGGGGCCAGACACAGUGGUAUACACCUGCAGUGUACAGAUGCUAGGAAGGCUAAGGCAGGAGGAUCACCUGGGCCCACAAGUGCAAGGCCAUGGUGCGCUAGGAUCACACCUGUAAACAGCCACU